UUCGAGCAUGGCGGCGGCGAAGGUGAAUCUGGACAUGCCCCCGCCGGGGGGCUACGGCCCCAUCGAUUACAAGCGGAAUCUUCCCCGUCGGGGACUGUCGGAGAAGCUCACAGCCUAACUGAGGAGACACAUUUCCCGCCUUGACAGAGCCAGGGAUAGCCAGGGCCUGCUUAGGGUAGGCUGGAAGGACUUCUCUGAAGAGCUCCUCAGGUGCAGGAAACAGCAGGGGGCUUGACCCCACUGGGCCGGGAGGCAGCCGCACCCUGGGAGCCCAGGGGUGCUGAGUGGCCCCUGGAGGGGACUGAUGCCUCUGGAAGCCCUAUCCAGCCCCCUGUGGGCUGCAUGCAGGGAGGUGGCCCAGGCAGCCACCAUGGAGCUGGGACCCAGCUGCAGACAACAUCCCAACUCAUGAGGACCCACGUGCUGCCUGGAAACCAAAUGACCUUCUAGAAGGUUGGUGGGGCUAGAACCACCCAACCAUAAGCAUCUAGACUCUCGGGCCUUCCUGCAGACCCCACCCGGUUCUGCAGCCCCUACCUUCUGGAAGCCCUGGCCUGGGGGCAGAGCGGGUGGCUGGGACAGAGGGUAGUCUGCACCUGCUGAGGAGGGGGUGGCUGUGGGAGGGGCUCUGGACCCUCCACAAAGACAAAAAAUACAUGAUAGACAGGACCCUGGCUUUCCCCUUCCUACCCCCGACCAUGUUUCUGGAGUAUUUGCACAGUGAGCAGGCAGACGUCACGGGCAGGCGCGGCACGGGAUGGCCUGUCUGGCGUGUGCAGGCACUGAACUGGCCCCCGUCUCCCCACACGCUACAACAUGUUUGCUGUGGGCAUUGGGGCCCUGCUCUUCGGGUACUGGAGCAUGAUGAAGUGGAACUGCGAGCGCAGGCGCUUGCAGAUCGAGGACUUCGAGGCCCGUAUUGCACUGAUGCCACUGCUGCAGGCAGAGAAGGACCGGAGGUGGGGCU
Manis javanica (Malayan pangolin) is the source of this 967-nucleotide non-coding RNA. Lineage: Eukaryota; Metazoa; Chordata; Mammalia; Pholidota; Manidae. The record is from RefSeq and is a predicted model, not a curated record.